GAUGAACGCUGGCGGCGUGCCUAAUACAUGCAAGUCGAGCGCACGGACGAGAAGCUUGCUUCUCUGAUGUUAGCGGCGUACGUGUGAGUAACACGUGGAUAACCUACCUAUAAGACUGGGCUAACUUCGUGAAACCGGUGCUAAUUCCGGCUAAUAUUUUGAUCCUCAUGGUUUAAAAGUGAUAUCCGGUCUUGCUGUCACUUAUAGAUGGAUCCGCUCUGCAUUAGCUAGUUGGUAAGGUAACGGCUUACCAAGGCAACGAUGCAUAGCCGACCUGAGAGGGUGGUAGGCCACACGGGAACGUGGACACGGUCCAGACGCCUACGGGAGGCAGCAGUAGGGAAUCUGACGCAAUGGGCGAAAGCAUGACGGAGCAACGCCGCGUGAGUGAUGAAGGUGUUGGGAGCGGAAAAAUGGGUUAUGAGGGAAGAACAUAUGUGUAAGGAAAUGUGCACAAAGUGACGGUACCUAAACAGAAAGCCACGGCUAACUACGUG
RNAcentral lists this ribosomal RNA (497 nucleotides) under uncultured bacterium. Its description in RNAcentral is "partial 16S ribosomal RNA". It matches the Rfam family "Bacterial small subunit ribosomal RNA", at positions 28 to 507 of the family's 1533-position model. The record is from RNAcentral.